This 71-nucleotide transfer RNA is filed under the name Loxodonta africana (African savanna elephant). It matches the Rfam family "tRNA". From Rfam's summary of the family: Transfer RNA (tRNA) molecules are approximately 80 nucleotides in length. Lineage: Eukaryota; Metazoa; Chordata; Mammalia; Proboscidea; Elephantidae. The record is from Rfam by way of RNAcentral.
GUAGUGGUGAUUCAGUGGUAGAAUGCUCACCUUCCUUGUGGGAGAUCCUGGUUUGAUUCCCAGCCAAUACA